Molecule: long non-coding RNA, 196 nt
Organism: Rhodamnia argentea
Lineage: Eukaryota; Viridiplantae; Streptophyta; Magnoliopsida; Myrtales; Myrtaceae
Exons: 4
Source: RefSeq, a predicted model, not a curated record
CGUCUUCGAUUGCAAAAGAAAAUCAUCGGCAUGAUACGCAGAUCGCUUACAGACACGAAAUUGGGGAUUGCUGAACUAUAGAAGAAGCUCGAGAUAAAUAGAUAUUGCUUUUUGGGAGAACAAAGUAGCUAUCAAAAGUGCCGAGAAGGAUUAAAGGAUGACACUAUAAAGUUGGACAAACUUUUUGACGAGCUUC